This 72-nucleotide transfer RNA is filed under the name Procambarus clarkii (red swamp crayfish). RNAcentral describes it as "transfer RNA threonine (anticodon UGU)". It matches the Rfam family "tRNA". From Rfam's summary of the family: Transfer RNA (tRNA) molecules are approximately 80 nucleotides in length. Their secondary structure includes four short double-helical elements and three loops (D, anti-codon, and T loops). The record is from RNAcentral. Lineage: Eukaryota; Metazoa; Arthropoda; Malacostraca; Decapoda; Cambaridae.
GCCUCCUUAGCUCAGGAGCAGAGGACUGGUCUUGUAAACCAGGGGUCGUGAGUUCGAUUCUCACAGGGGGCA